Brassica napus (rape) is the source of this 1893-nucleotide long non-coding RNA. RefSeq lists it as uncharacterized. The record is from RefSeq and is a predicted model, not a curated record. Lineage: Eukaryota; Viridiplantae; Streptophyta; Magnoliopsida; Brassicales; Brassicaceae. The transcript is spliced from 4 exons.
UGUAUAUACUCAAAUCUGGUUUCUAUUAGUUGUACCCGGUUUUUAUGUAUAGGCAACUAUGGUUUCUUUAUCUUGUACCCGGUUUAUGAUGUUUACAUAUUUUGACCUCCAAGUUUCGGACGCCCAUGUGAAUGAAGAAACCUAUUCGGUAUGAAGGUGUGAUCGGAUACGUUAUGAACAGUGACACGAAUCACAGUUGCAACAAAUCUUCUCUUCUCCUCUUCGAAAAUAUCUUAUCCUCACCGAAAAUAUCUUCUCCUCUUCUCUUCACUUCUCCUCUAUGAAAAUAUCUUAUAACUCUUCUCUCACCAAUUUGGAAAAAUAUAACCGAUUUUAUACACUUGUUUACUUUUUCAAUAGGUUCAAAAAUAAAACUGAUAAAUGGUCAUAACUGUCGGUUGCAGGUUACUUGUAUUAUUCAAUCACGUGUGGUUUCGAGGACAGAAUCAGAAAGAGAUGCGCUAAAUGACAAGAUUCUCAAAUUAUUAAAAAGUUUGCAUAGAUCUGCAAUUACCACGCCAAAUUUUGAUAUUGAGCUAAAUAGGCCUUUAUUUUAUCUAUACCUCUUAUCUCUCCGUCGGCGUUUGCAGACCGGAGGUGGGUGAUUUUCAGUCUGUUUAAUUUGUUUGCCUCAGUGUUGAACUAUGUUAGGCUUAGAAGAGAAAGAGAUGAUGAUGAAGAAGGUGAGGAAGGCGACGCCAGAGUUGGCGACUCUAAAACGAUCGUGUGGUGGGACAUGGACAGCUGUCCGCUCCCAAAUGGUUAUGAGCCAAGUCGAGUCGGUCCGAGAAUAGACACGGAGUUGAAGAAUCAAGGUUACAAUGGUCCGCUCACCAUAAUUGGCAUUGGUAACCUGGAAGGAGUCCCUCAUGACUUUCUGAUAGCGCUCUCUUCUGGUGGAGUCGUUAUUAAACAGCUUCCACUAGGAUCCGACAUGAUGAGCUGUGUGCGCCGUGCUUUGUUUUCGAGAGAACCUCGUUUUGAACCUCGUCAAUGAUGCUCAUAACUGCCGUCCAUGCCGAGCUAUUGGAAGAUGUCAUUUGCGUGUUUUUUAAUUGUGGCCCCCGUUACAAUCUUCUGCUGGCUUUUCCAGCCGUUACCGAACAUGCAGACCCAGAGCCUCCAACCCUACUAGUCGACAACUUUGGUGGAGAGUGGGUCUGGGAUAGGCUUGGCUUACUGAAAGAUCCAGGGUCUCCCAACUAUGAUACCAGAAGACAGGACACAGGCUGUGAAUCGCAUUGUUGCGGAUUAUGCGACGAUUUUUCUUCCGACAGCUUUGAUGAUUUCAAAGCCCACUUCGACAGUCCCCAACAUGCAGAUAAGAUGCAUGAGUAUCUUAGUUACCUUGCGGGGAGGUUUAAUCGGGUCUUAGAAAAUUUUGAGUCCGCCGUUAGGCUUGAAGAGGCAAGUUUUUCUUCUUUUCUUCUUCUUCAUUCUUAUUAUAAUACCAGAGUUGUUUUUUCACAUAGAGAUAAUAUCUAAUCUCUGACUCCUACUGUUUCAGUCUUAUCUUGCAAAAGUGGAGGCAAAAAGGCGAGAGUUUGUAACGUGGUUCGGCUUGUAUGAUUCUGAUGAUGAGGAUGAUACUCCCAAGCCUCAGAAGGCAAGUUAGAGUUUCUUUUUUUUUUUAAAUACAUAAAUAUAAAUCUUUUUCUCCAUAAAACAACUCGUCAGCUCUACUCAUUAUUUUGUACAGUCCAAAAGGAGCCGCUUGACGAAGCCUAACUUGGCAAGUUUUUUUCUUAACCAAACAUUCUUUACUUUCUUAAUCAAAACCUGAUUUCUCAUUAACAACUGUAUGAUUGCAGGGGAAAAAAUUCAAGGCCGCCCUUCUUUGCAAGGCUUCCUCUCUUAAGAAGAAGGCUACUGCCAAGCCCAAGAAGCCAUCAA